Molecule: ribosomal RNA, 732 nt
Filed under: Salmonella enterica subsp. enterica serovar Infantis
Lineage: Bacteria; Pseudomonadati; Pseudomonadota; Gammaproteobacteria; Enterobacterales; Enterobacteriaceae
Also listed under: 1 other name
Description: partial 23S ribosomal RNA
Rfam family: Bacterial large subunit ribosomal RNA
Source: RNAcentral
CGCGGCAAGACGGAAAGACCCCGUGAACCUUUACUAUAGCUUGACACUGAACAUUGAGCCUUGAUGUGUAGGAUAGGUGGGAGGCUUUGAAGCGUGGACGCCAGUCUGCGUGGAGCCGACCUUGAAAUACCACCCUUUAAUGUUUGAUGUUCUAACGUGGAUCCGUAAUCCGGGUUGCGGACAGUGUCUGGUGGGUAGUUUGACUGGGGCGGUCUCCUCCUAAAGAGUAACGGAGGAGCACGAAGGUUGGCUAAUCCUGGUCGGACAUCAGGAGGUUAGUGCAAUGGCAUAAGCCAGCUUGACUGCGAGCGUGACGGCGCGAGCAGGUGCGAAAGCAGGUCAUAGUGAUCCGGUGGUUCUGAAUGGAAGGGCCAUCGCUCAACGGAUAAAAGGUACUCCGGGGAUAACAGGCUGAUACCGCCCAAGAGUUCAUAUCGACGGCGGUGUUUGGCACCUCGAUGUCGGCUCAUCACAUCCUGGGGCUGAAGUAGGUCCCAAGGGUAUGGCUGUUCGCCAUUUAAAGUGGUACGCGAGCUGGGUUUAGAACGUCGUGAGACAGUUCGGUCCCUAUCUGCCGUGGGCGCUGGAGAACUGAGGGGGGCUGCUCCUAGUACGAGAGGACCGGAGUGGACGCAUCACUGGUGUUCGGGUUGUCAUGCCAAUGGCACUGCCCGGUAGCUAAAUGCGGAAGAGAUAAGUGCUGAAAGCAUCUAAGCACGAAACUUGCCCCGA